RNAcentral lists this ribosomal RNA (1804 nucleotides) under uncultured Wolbachia sp. RNAcentral's name for it is "partial 23S ribosomal RNA". It matches the Rfam family "Bacterial large subunit ribosomal RNA", at positions 953 to 2867 of the family's 2925-position model. Lineage: Bacteria; Pseudomonadati; Pseudomonadota; Alphaproteobacteria; Rickettsiales; Anaplasmataceae. The record is from RNAcentral.
ACUCCGAAUACCAAUAAUUAAUUAUACAGCAGACACACUAUGGGUGCUAAGUCCGUGGUGGAAAGGGAAACAGCCCAGAUCACUAUCUAAGGUCCCAAAAUUACAGCUAAGUGGGAAAGGAAGUAGAAAAACCAUUACAGCUAGGAGGUUGGCUUGGAAGCAGCCAUCCUUUAAAGAAAGCGUAACAGCUCACUUGUCUAAAUAAGUUUUUCUGCGCCGAAAAUGUACCGGGGCUAAAGCUGUAUACCGAAGAUGUGGGUGCUUAUUAAUUUCGAUUAAUAGGCGCGGUAGCGGAGCGUUCCGUAAGUCUGUGAAGGUGGUUUGUAAAAACUGCUGGAGAUAUCGGAAGUGAGAAUGCUGACAUAAGUAGCGUAAAAGAGUGUGAAAAACACUCUCACCAAAAAUCUAAGGGUUCCUACGUUAAGUUAAUCUGCGUAGGGUUAGUCGGUUCCUAAGGCGAGUCCGUAAAGGAGUAGUCGAUGGCAAUUAGGUUAAUAUUCCUAAACCUCUUAAGUGUGACGGGUUUUGUAUUUGUAUAGGUCUUAUUGGAUUGAUCUAUGCUUAAAAGAAGCUCCAGGAAAUAGCACUUAUAUUUAUGAGGCCGUACCGUAAACCGACACUGGUGGAUGAGUAGAGUAUACUAAGGUGUUGAAAGAAUGAUGUUGAAGGAACUCGGCAAAUUAUACCUGUAACUUCGGAAGAAGGGUAACCUGCUUUUAGGCAACUAUAAGUAGGUGGCACAAAAUAGGGAGUAGCGACUGUUUACUAAAAACACAGGACUCUGCAAACACGUAAGUGGAAGUAUAGGGUCUGACGCCUGCCCGGUGCUGGAAGGUUAAUAGGAGGGGUGCAAGCUCUGAAUUGAAGCCCCAGUAAACGGCGGCCGUAACACUGACGGUCCUAAGGUAGCGAAAUUCCUUGUCGGGUAAGUUCCGACCCGCACGAAUGGCGUAACGAUUUCUCCACUGUCUCCAACAUCACUUCAGCGAAAUUGAAUUCCCCGUGCAGAUGCGGGGUACCCGCGGUUAGACGAAGAGACCCCGUGCACCUUUACUAUAGCUUUACAUUGCUAUUAAAAGUGUGAUGUGCAGGAUAGGUGGGAGACUUUGAAGUUAUGGCGCUAGCUAUAAUGGAGUUAACCUUGAGAUACCACCCUUUACACUUUUGAUAUCUAACUAUGUUUCAUUAUCUGGAACUAGGACAUUGUAUGGUGGGUAGUUUGACUGGGGCGGUCGCCUCCUAAAAAGUAACGGAGGCGUGCGAAGGUAAGCUAGAGCUGGUCGGAAAUCAGCUUGAUAGUACAAUGGCAUAAGCUUGCCUGACUGCGAGGCUGACAAGCCAAGCAGAGACGAAAGUCGGUCAUAGUGAUCCGGUAAUUCUGUAUGGAAGGGUUAUCGCUCAACGGAUAAAAGGUACGCCGGGGAUAACAGGCUGAUGGUGUUCGAGAGUUCAUAUCGACGACACCGUUUGGCACCUCGAUGUCGACUCAUCACAUCCUGGGGCUGGAGAAGGUCCCAAGGGUUCGGCUGUUCGCCGAUUAAAGUGUUACGUGAGUUGGGUUUAGAACGUCGUGAGACAGUUCGGUUUCUAUCUGCCGUGGGUGAAGGAAAUUUGAGAAGAUCUGACUCUAGUACGAGAGGACCGAGAUGUAUAUACCUCUGGUGUACCAGCUGUUAUGCCAAUAGCAUCGCUGGGUAGCUAUGUAUAGAUGGGAUAAUUGCUGAAAGCAUAUAAGCAAGAAACCCUCUUCAAAAAAAUUUCCCAAUUAAGGCCGUGGGAGACUACCACGUUGAUAGGCUAGGUG